UGGGGAAUAUUGGACAAUGGGCGCAAGCCUGAUCCAGCCAUGCCGCGUGAGUGAUGAAGGCCUUAGGGUUGUAAAGCUCUUUCAGUGGGGACGAUAAUGACGGUACCCACAGAAGAAGCCCCGGCUACCUUCGUGCCAGCAGCCGCGGUAAUACGAAGGGGGCUAGCGUUGUUCGGAUUUACUGGGCGUAAAGCGCACGUAGGCGGAUCGUUAAGUCGGGGGUGAAAUCCCGGGGCUCAACCCCGGAACUGCCUUCGAUACUGGCGAUCUUGAGUCCGGAAGAGGUGAGUGGAACUCCUAGUGUAGAGGUGGAAUUCGUAGAUAUUAGGAAGAACACCAGUGGCGAAGGCGGCUCACUGGUCCGGUACUGACGCUGAGGUGCGAAAGCGUGGGGAGCAAAC
This 401-nucleotide ribosomal RNA is filed under the name uncultured bacterium. Its description in RNAcentral is "bacterial SSU rRNA". It matches the Rfam family "Bacterial small subunit ribosomal RNA", at positions 355 to 773 of the family's 1533-position model. The record is from RNAcentral.